This 1372-nucleotide ribosomal RNA is filed under the name uncultured bacterium. Its description in RNAcentral is "bacterial SSU rRNA". It matches the Rfam family "Bacterial small subunit ribosomal RNA", at positions 28 to 1381 of the family's 1533-position model. The record is from RNAcentral.
GAUGAACGCUGGCGGCGUGCCUAAUACAUGCAAGUCGAGCGAACGGACGAGAAGCUUGCUUCUCUGAUGUUAGCGGCGGACGGGUGAGUAACACGUGGAUAACCUACCUAUAAGACUGGGAUAACUUCGGGAAACCGGAGCUAAUACCGGAUAAUAUUUUGAACCGCAUGGUUCAAAAGUGAAAGACGGUCUUGCUGUCACUUAUAGAUGGAUCCGCGCUGCAUUAGCUAGUUGGUAAGGUAACGGCUUACCAAGGCAACGAUGCAUAGCCGACCUGAGAGGGUGAUCGGCCACACUGGAACUGAGACACGGUCCAGACUCCUACGGGAGGCAGCAGUAGGGAAUCUUCCGCAAUGGGCGAAAGCCUGACGGAGCAACGCCGCGUGAGUGAUGAAGGUCUUCGGAUCGUAAAACUCUGUUAUUGGGGAAGAACAUAUGUGUAAGUAACUGUGCACAUCUUGACGGUACCUAAUCAGAAAGCCACGGCUAACUACGUGCCAGCAGCCGCGGUAAUACGUAGGUGGCAAGCGUUAUCCGGAAUUAUUGGGCGUAAAGCGCGCGUAGGCGGUUUUUUAAGUCUGAUGUGAAAGCCCACGGCUCAACCGUGGAGGGUCAUUGGAAACUGGAAAACUUGAGUGCAGAAGAGGAAAGUGGAAUUCCAUGUGUAGCGGUGAAAUGCGCAGAGAUAUGGAGGAACACCAGUGGCGAAGGCGACUUUCUGGUCUGUAACUGACGCUGAUGUGCGAAAGCGUGGGGAUCAAACAGGAUUAGAUACCCUGGUAGUCCACGCCGUAAACGAUGAGUGCUAAGUGUUAGGGGGUUUCCGCCCCUUAGUGCUGCAGCUAACGCAUUAAGCACUCCGCCUGGGGAGUACGACCGCAAGGUUGAAACUCAAAGGAAUUGACGGGGACCCGCACAAGCGGUGGAGCAUGUGGUUUAAUUCGAAGCAACGCGAAGAACCUUACCAAAUCUUGACAUCCUUUGACAACUCUAGAGAUAGAGCCUUCCCCUUCGGGGGACAAAGUGACAGGUGGUGCAUGGUUGUCGUCAGCUCGUGUCGUGAGAUGUUGGGUUAAGUCCCGCAACGAGCGCAACCCUUAAGCUUAGUUGCCAUCAUUAAGUUGGGCACUCUAAGUUGACCGCCGGUGACAAACCGGAGGAAGGUGGGGAUGACGUCAAAUCAUCAUGCCCCUUAUGAUUUGGGCUACACACGUGCUACAAUGGACAAUACAAAGGGCAGCGAAACCGCGAGGUCAAGCAAAUCCCAUAAAGUUGUUCUCAGUUCGGAUUGUAGUCUGCAACUCGACUACAUGAAGCUGGAAUCGCUAGUAAUCGUAGAUCAGCAUGCUACGGUGAAUACGUUCCCGGGUCU